CGAACCGUCAUCUGGGGAGUAGCCGCCGCGUUCGCGCGGAGCCCCGCAUCAACAUACUUGGCCGAGAGGUCAUGGUGCGGGGAGGACAGAGCGAUCUGUCGAGGCGAGACCACUGACGCCGUGCUUUCGGUCUGCCGGGCGGGAAGGCACAGCGUCUUUGGUUGUUCGUCUGCCC
This 175-nucleotide small RNA is filed under the name Novosphingobium malaysiense. Its description in RNAcentral is "Manganese sequence". It matches the Rfam family "Manganese Mn2+ riboswitch aptamer (yybP-ykoY)". Rfam says of the family: This RNA was originally discovered in E. coli during a large scale screen and was named SraF. The family was later found to exist upstream of related families of protein genes in many bacteria, including the the yybP and ykoK genes in B. subtilis. The record is from RNAcentral. Lineage: Bacteria; Pseudomonadati; Pseudomonadota; Alphaproteobacteria; Sphingomonadales; Sphingomonadaceae.